This 268-nucleotide long non-coding RNA is filed under the name Medicago truncatula (barrel medic). RNAcentral describes it as "long non-coding RNA (MTRU_LNC007593)". The record is from RNAcentral. Lineage: Eukaryota; Viridiplantae; Streptophyta; Magnoliopsida; Fabales; Fabaceae.
AGAAUGUUAAUACGAAUUAAUGAUGUUGUUAUGUUGUAUAUGAACUAUGAAUAUGAUGUUGUUACGUUGUUUAUGUCAUUGAUUAUGAAGUUGUCAUGUUGUAUACGAAUUAUGAGUAUGAUGUUAUAUGAUUAUGAUUAAGAUGUUGAUUAUGAUGUUAAAUGAUGCUGUUAUGAUGUUGUUUAUGAUAUCGAGUUAUGACUGUUGAUAUGAUGAGUACAUGAUAUGGUUUAGGAGUCGUUAAAAGAAUUAUUAUUACUAAUUGAUG